RNAcentral lists this long non-coding RNA (965 nucleotides) under Capra hircus (goat). Its description in RNAcentral is "lncRNA (ENSCHIG00000003815.1)". The record is from RNAcentral. Lineage: Eukaryota; Metazoa; Chordata; Mammalia; Artiodactyla; Bovidae.
GCUCCAUGUAAGAUUUCUUCCUUUCUGCCCAUUCCCCCCUCCCCGACCCCCAACCCACAGCAAAUCCACUUAGCAAGUGACUUUCAAUAUCAGUCGAAUUGCUGGGAGGGAAUUUUUCCUUUAAUGGAAAAAAAAAUCCUCUUCACACAGGUGCAAUGGCCUGCCUCAAUGAAGAAAGGCUACCUGGAUGCCCACAACAGAACCCAGUUUUGUACAAUAACCCCCUGCUGCAAUGUGAGGCUCCAGCUAACUGCAAAACCCGAAACCUAGCUGGGAAAUUGCCUACCUGCACAAAGAACAGAGACCCUAUCGUUUCAGGAUUCAGUUCUUUCCGAGCACUUUUAUAAAGGAGUUUUUGUCUGCCUUGUGAGGCUCCGACCACAGAGGAGCUGGAAAUCCAGAUCCUAUCAGCUUUCCUUGAAGGAGGUGUUACAGGGUGUUCAUUUUCCUGCUGUUUGCUUUCAGCACCCUCAGGCUCAAGAUCACCCUGGUCCAUGUGAGAGGCAAGACAAGAGAAGAUCAGCGGCAAAACAGGUGGAGCAGUUUGGCUGGGCCCACCUGGCUCUGUUCCGUCACAGUGGAUAUAGCAGUUUUGAAGUGAGACUAUUUACUCAGUGCAGAGAGGCAUGCCCCACCAGAGGGAACAUCACCAGGCCUCCCUGCACAGUUAGUUCUUCCUGAACGUCUUUAGCAAGAUUACACCUGGCACACAGACGCUAUCUACUUGCUGCAUUCUUUACAAACCCACUGGUGGGCAGAGCAGUAAGAUGACUGGCCACCAUCCAGAUGGUUAACAAUAAAAGCAAUUAUUAUGCAGCCAUUAAUCUUGUCAAUUACAUUUUAACCCAGGCAGUGUGUAAACGGAAGCUCUAUCUGCUUCUAUAUUUUUCCUUUUCUUUCUCUGCCUCCUUUUCCCCCAGAAAAUAAAAAGUGAUUGCAUGCUAUCAUUUUCUCAACAUCAUCAC